This 253-nucleotide ribosomal RNA is filed under the name uncultured bacterium. Its description in RNAcentral is "partial 16S ribosomal RNA". It matches the Rfam family "Bacterial small subunit ribosomal RNA", at positions 524 to 776 of the family's 1533-position model. The record is from RNAcentral.
UACGAAGGGGGCUAGCGUUGCUCGGAAUCACUGGGCGUAAAGCGCACGUAGGCGGGUUCUUAAGUCAGGGGUGAAAUCCUGGAGCUCAACUCCAGAACUGCCUUUGAUACUGGGAAUCUCGAGUCCGGGAGAGGUGAGUGGAACUGCGAGUGUAGAGGUGAAAUUCGUAGAUAUUCGGAAGAACACCAGUGGCGAAGGCGACUCACUGGACACAUAUUGACGCUGAGGUGCGAAAGCGUGGGGAGCAAACAGG